GACGAACGCUGGCGGGCGUGCUUAACACAUGCAAGUCGAGCGGUGAAGCCUUCGGGUGGAUCAGUGGCGAACGGGUGAGUAACACGUGAGCAAUCUGCCCUUGACUCUGGGAUAACUUCGGGAAACCGGAGCUAAUACCGGAUAUGACAUCUGGCCGCAUGGUCUGGGGUGUGGAAAGAUUUAUCGGUCAAGGAUGAGCUCGCGGCCUAUCAGCUUGUUGGNGGGGUAAUGGCCCACCAAGGCGACGACGGGUAGCCGGCCUGAGAGGGCGACCGGCCACACUGGGACUGAGACACGGCCCAGACUCCUACGGGAGGCAGCAGUGGGGAAUAUUGCGCAAUGGGCGGAAGCCUGACGCAGCGACGCCGCGUGAGGGAUGACGGCCUCGG
RNAcentral lists this ribosomal RNA (389 nucleotides) under uncultured bacterium. RNAcentral's name for it is "bacterial SSU rRNA". It matches the Rfam family "Bacterial small subunit ribosomal RNA", at positions 28 to 420 of the family's 1533-position model. The record is from RNAcentral.